Branchiostoma belcheri (Belcher's lancelet) is the source of this 410-nucleotide long non-coding RNA. RefSeq lists it as uncharacterized. The transcript has 2 exons. The record is from RefSeq and is a predicted model, not a curated record. NCBI's taxonomy places the organism in Eukaryota, Metazoa, Chordata, Leptocardii, Amphioxiformes, Branchiostomatidae.
CCGACCAUAGAUGUCAUUUUCCUGCAUGAUAACUGGCCGUGUGUAGACACAUCAGCGAGAUGACAAGGAAACACCGUAAUUAUAAGAGGAUGUCGUCGAUAGUACGCAGAGCCACCAGUUCUACAGUUAAAAAUCCCAGCAUGGCUGCUCUUGGUUUGGGGGUGAUAACUCUGCUCGUGAUUAUAAAGCUUCUAUAGCAGACGAAGGACGGGCGCUUUUUCCUAUGCAAAGUUCCCACGAUCACCGUCGACCCCACUCCUGUUCAUGGCUGUUGAAGAAAAGCCGCAAAGCAGAAAAACACCUACCCUGGAGCCCAGAGUCACCGCAGGGCUUAUAGCUUACAGUCGGGCCCGCAAAGCGACUGGACGACGGAGUUUCACAGCCUGUCCUACACAACGCACCCCCCCCCC